Molecule: long non-coding RNA, 684 nt
Organism: Acinonyx jubatus (cheetah)
Lineage: Eukaryota; Metazoa; Chordata; Mammalia; Carnivora; Felidae
Exons: 5
Source: RefSeq, a predicted model, not a curated record
CAACUGACAACACUUGGGCAGCCUCCUCUCCGCUGGGGUCCUGCGGGAGGCCCUGGCCAGUCCGGGCUUUGGAAUACACCCUCUGCAUCCGCCAGGUGGUUCUCAAGGCUCGCUCCCCAGACCCGCAGAACCAGCAGCACCUGGGAACUUACCAGAAAUGCCAAUACUCGGGCCCCGCCCCCAGACCCGAAAAUCAGCAACUCCGAGGGCGGGACCCAGCGACGAGAGGGGGUAUAAUAAGCCUGCCAGGUGAUUCCGUUGCCUGCUCCGGUUGAUUGAGGGCCACUGCUGUGCCGGGAGCCGCUUUCAAGGACCUGGGCUCCUUCCGGCUCCUCCCGCAGGAGCCUGGAGGUUGGGACCAGGAUGCCUGUCUCCAUCAACACUGUGGUCCUUAACUAACGAGCGAGUGUCAGGAGUGAACACACAGAUGGGAAGAUUCAGCCGCGUCAACAAAUAGCAAGGUCUGUGGAGAAGCCAGCUGCCAUGUCAUGAGGACACUCAAGCGACCCUGGUGGAGAAGUCUACACGGGGAACAAAGUCCUCCCCCACCAAUAACCAUGUGAGGAAAUCGUGACUCCGAGAGGUCAACGCUCCGGGAUGUCCUAGCAAAGCCACCGGCAAAGGCAGAGGGACGGUUUCAUCUUCCCGGCUGGCAACGCGGCUCGUUCAACUCCCGUCCCCCUC